GGAGCAUACCGCGUGAGGGAUGAAGGAUUUUGGUCUGUAAACCUCUUUUCUCAAGAAAGAAGUUCUGACGGUACUUGAGGAAUAAGCAUCGGCUAACUCCGUGCCAGCAGCCGCGGUAAU
This 120-nucleotide ribosomal RNA is filed under the name uncultured eukaryote. Its description in RNAcentral is "partial 16S ribosomal RNA". It matches the Rfam family "Bacterial small subunit ribosomal RNA", at positions 388 to 524 of the family's 1533-position model. The record is from RNAcentral.